RNAcentral lists this long non-coding RNA (323 nucleotides) under Phoenix dactylifera (date palm). Its description in RNAcentral is "long non-coding RNA (PDAC_LNC017285)". The record is from RNAcentral. Lineage: Eukaryota; Viridiplantae; Streptophyta; Magnoliopsida; Arecales; Arecaceae.
CACCGUACUCUGCUACCGUCGUCAAGCCAUUAAGGCACGUGACCUCCGCAGGCCUUCGGCACACCCGAUCAUUAAUGCGUGUGACCCCUGCGGACCUCCAGUGCACUCAACCAUUAAUGAACACGGCUCAAGAUGAUCUCCGGAUCACUGGACCAUCAAAGCGUAUGGCUCUCCCUGAUCACCGGUUCACUCAGCAAUUAAUGCACUUGCUAUCUACAAACCCCAGGCCCACCACGGCCGGCGGUUGAACCACUCCAACAGGUCCGAUCAACCAUGACAAUUCGCUGACUCCGGUCCGAUCCGGUCUCAUUCUCCACAACGCC